CCCCGGUUAAAAUAGCUUACAUCCAAAAGAUAGGCAAUAACAAAUGUUGGAGAGGAUGUGGAGAAACGGGAACCCUUGUACACUUCCUGGAACUGUAAAUUA
Long non-coding RNA from Nomascus leucogenys (northern white-cheeked gibbon), 102 nucleotides. RefSeq lists it as uncharacterized. NCBI's taxonomy places the organism in Eukaryota, Metazoa, Chordata, Mammalia, Primates, Hylobatidae. The record is from RefSeq and is a predicted model, not a curated record. The transcript is spliced from 3 exons.